Molecule: ribosomal RNA, 513 nt
Filed under: Meyerozyma caribbica
Lineage: Eukaryota; Fungi; Ascomycota; Pichiomycetes; Serinales; Debaryomycetaceae
Description: eukaryotic LSU rRNA
Rfam family: Eukaryotic large subunit ribosomal RNA
Source: RNAcentral
AAACCAACAGGGAUUGCCUUAGUAGCGGCGAGUGAAGCGGCAAAAGCUCAAAUUUGAAAUCUGGCACCUUCGGUGUCCGAGUUGUAAUUUGAAGAUUGUAACCUUGGGGUUGGCUCUUGUCUAUGUUUCUUGGAACAGGACGUCACAGAGGGUGAGAAUCCCGUGCGAUGAGAUGCCCAAUCCUAUGUAAGGUGCUUUCGAAGAGUCGAGUUGUUUGGGAAUGCAGCUCUAAGUGGGUGGUAAAUUCCAUCUAAAGCUAAAUAUUGGCGAGAGACCGAUAGCGAACAAGUACAGUGAUGGAAAGAUGAAAAGAACUUUGAAAAGAGAGUGAAAAAGUACGUGAAAUUGUUGAAAGGGAAGGGUUUGAGAUCAGACUCGAUAUUUUGUGAGCCUUGCCUUCGUGGCGGGGUGACCCGCAGCUUAUCGGGCCAGCAUCGGUUUGGGCGGUAGGAUAAUGGCGUAGGAAUGUGACUUUGCUUCGGUGAAGUGUUAUACCCUGCGUUGAAGCGGCCU